CCUGGUGGCUCAGCGGUAAAGAAUCUGCCUGCAAUGCAGGAGACCCAGGUUCAAUCCCUGGGUCAGGA
This 68-nucleotide transfer RNA is filed under the name Bos taurus (domestic cattle). It matches the Rfam family "tRNA". From Rfam's summary of the family: Transfer RNA (tRNA) molecules are approximately 80 nucleotides in length. Their secondary structure includes four short double-helical elements and three loops (D, anti-codon, and T loops). Further hydrogen bonds mediate the characteristic L-shaped molecular structure. tRNAs have two regions of fundamental functional importance: the anti-codon, which is responsible for specific mRNA codon recognition, and the 3' end, to which the tRNAs corresponding amino acid is attached (by aminoacyl-tRNA synthetases). tRNAs cope with the degeneracy of the genetic code in two manners: having more than one tRNA (with a specific anti-codon) for a particular amino acid; and 'wobble' base-pairing, i.e. permitting non-standard base-pairing at the 3rd anti-codon position. RNAcentral also lists the same sequence under 5 other names. The record is from Rfam by way of RNAcentral. Lineage: Eukaryota; Metazoa; Chordata; Mammalia; Artiodactyla; Bovidae.